UACGGAGGGGGCCAGCGUUGUUCGGAAUUAUUGGGCGUAAAGGGCGCGUAGGCGGUCGAGUAAGUCUGACGUGAAAUCCCUUGGCUCAACCAAGGAACUGCGUCUUAAACUGCUCGGCUUGAGUCCGGGAGAGGGUAGUGGAAUUCCCAGUGUAGCGGUGAAAUGCGUAGAUAUUGGGAGGAACACCGGUGGCGAAGGCGGCUCACUGGACCGGUACUGACGCUGAGGCGCGAAAGCGUGGGUAGCAAACAGG
This 253-nucleotide ribosomal RNA is filed under the name uncultured bacterium. Its description in RNAcentral is "partial 16S ribosomal RNA". It matches the Rfam family "Bacterial small subunit ribosomal RNA", at positions 524 to 776 of the family's 1533-position model. The record is from RNAcentral.